UAGGGUGACCAGCCAUCCUGGUUAGCCUGGGACUGAGGGGUUUUCUGUCACUGCUAAAACCAAGAUGGU
RNAcentral lists this microRNA precursor (69 nucleotides) under Pteropus vampyrus (large flying fox). RNAcentral describes it as "miRNA (ENSPVAG00000029237.1)". Lineage: Eukaryota; Metazoa; Chordata; Mammalia; Chiroptera; Pteropodidae. The record is from RNAcentral.